RNAcentral lists this transfer RNA (86 nucleotides) under Candidatus Enterousia intestinigallinarum. Its description in RNAcentral is "tRNA-Leu". It matches the Rfam family "tRNA". From Rfam's summary of the family: Transfer RNA (tRNA) molecules are approximately 80 nucleotides in length. Their secondary structure includes four short double-helical elements and three loops (D, anti-codon, and T loops). Further hydrogen bonds mediate the characteristic L-shaped molecular structure. tRNAs have two regions of fundamental functional importance: the anti-codon, which is responsible for specific mRNA codon recognition, and the 3' end, to which the tRNAs corresponding amino acid is attached (by aminoacyl-tRNA synthetases). tRNAs cope with the degeneracy of the genetic code in two manners: having more than one tRNA (with a specific anti-codon) for a particular amino acid; and 'wobble' base-pairing, i.e. permitting non-standard base-pairing at the 3rd anti-codon position. Lineage: Bacteria; Pseudomonadati; Pseudomonadota; Alphaproteobacteria. The record is from RNAcentral.
GCGGACGUGGCGAAACGGUAGACGCACAGCACUAAGGAUGCUGUGGAUAAUAAUCCGUGGGGGUUCGAUUCCCCCCGUCCGCACCA